GACGAACGCUGGCGGCGUGCUUAACACAUGCAAGUCGAACGAGAGCGUAGAGAAAGCUUGCUUUUUCUACAAUCUAGUGGCAAACGGGUGAGUAACGCGUAAACAACCUGCCCUACGGAUGGGGACAACAGCUGGAAACGGCUGCUAAUACCGAAUACGUUCCGAAAGUCGCAUGACUAUCGGAAGAAAGGAUGGCCUCUAUUUAUAAGCUAUCGCCGGAGGAGGGGUUUGCGUCUGAUUAGCUAGUUGGAGGGGUAACGGCCCACCAAGGCGACGAUCAGUAGCCGGUCUGAGAGGAUGAACGGCCACAUUGGAACUGAGACACGGUCCAGACUCCUACGGGAGGCAGCAGUGGGGAAUCUUCCGCAAUGGGCGAAAGCCUGACGGAGCAACGCCGCGUGAGUGAAGACGGCCUUCGGGUUGUAAAGCUCUGUUAUACGGGACGAAUAAUCUUGUGGUUAAUACCCAUGAGAAGUGACGGUACCGUAAGAGAAAGUCACGGCUAACUACGUG
Molecule: ribosomal RNA, 513 nt
Filed under: uncultured bacterium
Lineage: Bacteria
Description: partial 16S ribosomal RNA
Rfam family: Bacterial small subunit ribosomal RNA
Source: RNAcentral